CUACGCCGCGGUGAAUACGUUCCCGGGCCUUGUACACACCGUCCCGUCACACCACGAAAGUCAGCAACACCCAAAAUCCCUUCGGGGCCUAAGGUGCGGUUGGUGAUUGGGGUG
RNAcentral lists this ribosomal RNA (114 nucleotides) under uncultured bacterium. RNAcentral describes it as "partial 16S ribosomal RNA". It matches the Rfam family "Bacterial small subunit ribosomal RNA", at positions 1353 to 1482 of the family's 1533-position model. The record is from RNAcentral.